UCUCAUCCUAUCUUCUCUUCCUCUCAGUCGAUAAAACUAGAUCGAGUUUGAUGAAUCAGUUUCGAUUCAGUUUCUUCAUCAUCUAUCAUAGGAUUUUUAGGGAUUUAUAAAUCGAUUUUAGGGUUUCAGUCUGUAUUAUGAUUCGAUUUUAGUUUGUUCGUCGGAGUUCGCACUUGGAAGAACUGGUCUUCACUCUCAGCUAAUCGUGAGAAAACAUCUGUUCUACUUUGUUUAAUUUAGAUGCAGAUGGGAAUGAAGUUGAUAAGUUAACUGAGAAGCUACAAGGGGUUGGGAUUGGCUCUGGAUUGCUUCUGGUAGUGCUGAUGCUGCUGUUCUAACUACUUCUAAGUUCAUGUUAAGAAGUAGAGGGAGUGGUCAAUUUUGUGUGGAUGAUGCAUUUGGAAGGGGCUUGAUUGAGUGAUACUGAGAUUAGCAGAAGGAGAAGUUUGCUGGGAAGGCUUAAUGUCGUAUAAGCAAUUUAUUCAAGAUCUUGAAGAUGACAUACUGCCGGCUGAAGCUGAGCGCAGGUAUCAGGAAUACAUAUCAGAGUACAUUUCUACUCAGAAACGUACUUUCUUUGAUACACACAAGGAUGACGAGUGGCUGAAAGACAAAUAUCACCCAACAAAUUUAGUAUCAGUUAUUGAAAGGGAGUGGGAGUAUUCUUCAAGUACCCUUGAUAGCUGGUGCUCUCCAUGUUCGUGCAUUAUUCCAAGAUGCUAAGAAAAAGUUCCCGAUAGUGGGUCAUCGAAUUACAACAUCAAUGGAGUGAAGCAUAACACUAAUCUGACGUGUGGGAUAAAUCUGGGAUCGAUGGUGACACUGAGAAUAUCAGCUCGUUUGGUGGGAAACCUUUUAUCAAGAAAGGAUUUGAGUAUCCUUCGGCAUGGAAGUCCCCUUGGCUUAUGAAUAUCUAUGAACUGACUGGCAUCUCUGAUUGUUGCUUUUCAAUGUUGUAAGUUUUUUAAGUUACAAUGUAGGAAGUUUCUAUGAACUCAGCAAGUUUUUUAACUUAAAAUUUGAUACUUACAAGAAUUUUGGUACUUAGAAGAAUUUAUGUUAUUCUUUGAUUGAAAGCUAUAAAAAUUGACUGAAUGUGACUGUGAUAUGAAUGUGAUGUGAUUGUGAUGGAAUGAAAUGGGUAGGCAGGUUGUUGGA
Molecule: long non-coding RNA, 1158 nt
Organism: Papaver somniferum (opium poppy)
Lineage: Eukaryota; Viridiplantae; Streptophyta; Magnoliopsida; Ranunculales; Papaveraceae
Exons: 9
Source: RefSeq, a predicted model, not a curated record